Molecule: ribosomal RNA, 429 nt
Filed under: Verrucomicrobiota bacterium
Lineage: Bacteria; Pseudomonadati; Verrucomicrobiota
Description: Verrucomicrobia bacterium partial 16S ribosomal RNA
Rfam family: Bacterial small subunit ribosomal RNA
Source: RNAcentral
UAGGGAAUCUUCCGCAAUGGACGAAAGUCUGACGGAGCAACGCCGCGUGCGUGAAGAAGGAUUUCGGUUCGUAAAACUCUGUUGUUAGGGAAGAAAAAAUGUAUAGUAACUAUAUACAAAAGAGACGGUACCUAACCAGAAAGCCACGGCUAACUACGUGCCAGCAGCCGCGGUAAUACGUAGGUGGCAAGCGUUGUCCGGAAUUAUUGGGCGUAAAGCGCGCGCAGGUGGUUUGGAAAGUCUGAUGUGAAAGCCCACGGCUCAACCGUGGAGGGUCAUUGGAAACUAAAAAACUUGAGUGCAGGAGGGAAAAGUGGAAUUCCUAGUGUAGCGGUGAAAUGCGUAGAGAUAAGGAGGAACACCGGUGGCGAAAGCGGCUUUUUGGCCUGAAACUGACACUGAGGCGCGAAAGCGUGGGGAGCAAACAGG